RNAcentral lists this unclassified non-coding RNA (275 nucleotides) under Hevea brasiliensis (rubber tree). The record is from RNAcentral. Lineage: Eukaryota; Viridiplantae; Streptophyta; Magnoliopsida; Malpighiales; Euphorbiaceae.
GAGGAGAAAAUUAGGAGUGAAGCUCUGUACAAAUGGUUCUUUCUGAAAGUGAAAGGAACUUUGGAUUGAUUCCUCCAUUGCUGAUUUGGUGAUUCCACCAUUGUUGAAGGUCAAGGAAGAGCUUUGACAAAUGAGUUCUUUUUGAAAGUGAAAGAAACUUUGGAUUUGGCUUAUUAAUUGUUUGUAUUUCUUUGGAUUGGAUUUGGAUUGUUUUUAAUCUGACAUGUUCUUGUAGGGCUGACUAAAUUGAGAAACAUGAGAGAGAGAGAGAGAGA